Molecule: long non-coding RNA, 3806 nt
Organism: Trifolium pratense (red clover)
Lineage: Eukaryota; Viridiplantae; Streptophyta; Magnoliopsida; Fabales; Fabaceae
Exons: 3
Source: RefSeq, a predicted model, not a curated record
GAGAAUUUUCGAUGAAUCUGGUCGUCUUCCGUGUAUUUGUUCGUGGUUCGUCGAGUAGGUUCGUCUGGGUUGGGUUUAUUUGGUGGAGGUGGAGUUGUUUACUCGUCGAGAAGGUUCAUCUGGGCCGGUUAAUUUGGGGGAGGUGGAAUUGGAUGCUCUUCUUUUCCCCCCAAAGAUGAUUUCGUUGUUUUGAAUUUUGAAUUCUAGGGUAUUUUCCCUCCUAAUUGGAUUCGGUUGCCUAUAAAUUGGGGAUUGAGGAGAGUUGUGUUGUAUGUACUAAGUACUAAAGGGUAUAGUUAAGAUUGAGGAUAUGGUGUUUGGCGAAAACAUGAAGUUGGAUGGUAAGUUUGAAGAUGUUGCUGGUUUAUUACCUGGCAAAGAAAUUGGUGCUAUUAAGGUUAGGGUUCUUUGUUUGUGGAAAGUACCUGCUUUUAUGAAUCCAAUGAAGUUCAAUUCACUUGAGAUGGUUUUGUGUGAUGAGAAGGGGGGAAAAAUACAUGCUUUUGUUAGAAAGCAACUUAUUAAUAUGUUUGAUUCGAAGCUUGAAGAGGGCGGAGUGUAUGAGAUCUCCUCUCUGUCUAUUUUUCCCGAGAGUGGUUUGUAUCCAACUACUCUUCAUCGAUACAAGCUUGGUUUUCAAAGUAAGACAGUGGUCAAGCCUUCUCAGAGUUCUGAUAUAUCGCAAUAUGGUUUUAGCUUCACAAACAUUGCUGAAAUUUGUUCAUUUACUCAUGAUUAUGAGUUUCUGGUUGGUAAGUGGUGGUGGAGGUAGAAUUGCAUCUUAUUAUUUCCCCCCUAAAAAGCUUAGAGUGAUUUGAAUUUCGAAUUCUCUAUAAUUUUCCCUCCUAAUUGAAUUUCUUCUGCUCCACUUGUCUAUAAAUUGAGGAUGGGGAAGAUUUGCGAUGCACAGAUUGAGAGCAACAGGGUGUAGUUAGGGUUUGACGGGAUGGUGUAUAACGAUAAGUUGAAGGUGGAUGGUAAAUUUGAUGAUGUUGCGGCUAUAUUGCCCGGUAAAGAAAUUGGUCGUAUUAAGGUAUGAUGCUUCGUCUGUGAAAAGUACCUGCUUUCCUUAUUCCAAUUGAAUCCAACUUACUUGAGAUGGUUUUGGGUGAUGAGAAGGGUGGAAAAAAUUCAUACCACUGUUAGGAAACAGCUUAUUUAUAUGUUUGAUUGGAAGCUUGAAGAGGGCCAGGUAUAUGAGAUGUCGUGUUUCGCUGUUCUUCCUGAGAGUGGUUUAUACCGUACGACCCUUCAUCCAUAUAAACUUGCGUUUCAAAGUAAGGCAAAGGUCAGGCUGUCUAAAAUUUGUUCUAUAUCCCAGUUUGGGUUAAGUUUAACUUAUAUUGCCGAAAUUUGUUCUCACACUUAUGAUUAUGAGUUUUUGGUUGGUAAGUAACUGUGUAUGCGGUGGAUAUUGUAUGUUGUAUUCGAGUUUUGCAAAAUUUAAUUCAUCAGUUGAUUGAUAGAUGUGAUUUAAAGAUUUUGAUUUUUGUUGUUGUUGUUGUUGUUGUUGAAUUCAAAUGAUUUUAUAUUGAAUUUGAAUAUUGAAUGAGUAAAUGAAUUUAGGGUGUUGAGGCUUCAAAAGAGACACGAAUACUGCUUGCUUGGUUAAUUGUCCUCAGAGGUUGGAUGGAACUACUAUGACACCAUUAAGGUGGGUUUUUAUUGUUUUGUUUGAAGUUUUUUGCUUUGUAUUUGAUAUAAAUUUAGCUAAUAAAUUGAAUUAUAGAUGUUAUUAGUAUUAUGACUGCAAUUCCUGCUGAACGAGAGUAUGUUCGUGAUGGCAAGGUAGUUAAAUGGUCAUUGUUAAGCUAACUGAUGAUAGGUAUAUGUAAUGCUUAUUUAUGACUGAAUCAUUACUAAUUUUAUUUUCAGUCUUUGAGAUAUUAGUGUCUUCAUUUUCAUCACUAUUUCUGUUGUAAACUGAAUGAACUAAAAACCAAUUCCAAACAUGGCACAACAAGUGAGGAACAAGCAAGUGAUUCUGAGGGACUAUGUGUCUGGUUUUCCUAAAGAAUCGGACAUGAUCAUUAUUGACAGUACCAUAACUCUAAAGCUUCCAGAAAGUUCCAAUGAUGUUCUGCUAAAAAAUCUCUACUUGGCUUGUGAUCCAUACAUGAGGAAUCUCAUGAACAAAACACAAGGAAUUCCUAAUCCUCUUUCAUAUACCCCUCAAUCUGUAAGUUAAUAAUUUUGUGAAUAACCCUUUUGAGUAUAUAAAUCAAAAACCCUUUUGAGUAUAUGUCAAAUUUGAUCCUUAAAGUAGCUUUUUUUAUAUGUAAAUUUUGUCUUUGAAUGGAUCAAUUUGUUAGUUAAGUUUACAACUUUGAUAUGAUAAAUUUCUUAGCAAAUUAAAAAUUUUGGAUUUUUGUUUUUGUUUUAACCCUCCGUUGGUCUAACGAAGGGCCAUGAUAAUUCAGAGUUCGGCCCAGGUAAGUAAAGUCUGGUCAAUGACUAUUUCAUUAGAAUUUUAACUCGGUUUUCUCGAACGAUUCUUCCUUAAUUGGAGUAGUAGAGAUCAAUUGCUUGAUAUUAGCAAGUGGUCAUGUAAUUUGUAAGAUUGGAGUUUAAGUUUUAUUCUUUAAUCAAGAUUGAAACUAAUCAAAGAAUAAUGUACAACAUUGAAACAAGUUUUUGUUUAUGUAGCUUCUGAUGAUUUUUGAGUAAAUGCAGGUAAUAGCAGGUUUUGGGGUGUCUAAAGUCCUUGAAUCAGGACACCGUGAUUAUAAGGAAGGUGAUUUCGGGUUUCUGCCAUUUUGUUGCACCUUUUGACAUAUGUUAUGUUUUUCUUUGAUAGCAGGUACGCGUUUUAAACAAGUGAAGAUUGAGAAGGAGUGAUUUUUGUAUUUGUUUUCUAAUAAUGGUGUGAUGCAUAUUGUGAUGUGAAUUUAGUUAGCUGUUGUGUGAACUCUCCAUGUUGUAAUCGUUGUAUUUAAGUUCUAAGUGAUGGGGAUUUAAAUAAAAUUUUUUGUUGUUAUCUACUGGAAGUGUUCUAAGUGUGUUGUGUUAUGUAUCAUCGUCUGUUGAGUGUCCUAAGUGUCCUAAGUCUGUUGUUAUCGUCUGUAGGAAAAUAUUGAAGUUGUGCAAGUUACCACAAUUAGCCCCAAUGCGCACGACUAACUGAAAAAAGGAAAAAUACACAAGACACUCAGAACAUAGUUAUCAGUUUUCCUGGCAACUAUUAUUAGAUCGAAUCCCGACCAAGAAUAAUUUAUGUAGGUGGAGGAUUAUGCAGCAACAGUUAUCAGUUUGUGUUUUGUGUGAGCUGACGGCGGAAACGGGGCCUCAUUUAUUCCUUCACUGUAACUGUACUUCGAAGGUGUGGCAUCAAGUAAUGCAGUGGUUAGGGCUGGUAAUAAUUCUUCCACAAAAUCUGUUUAUGUCUUUUGGGUUGUUAAUCGACAGUGGUUUAUAGAUGGUGCAGCAAAAGAUCCUUGCUUACUUUAUGAAUGGAGAUGGAGUCCUUUUGAUUGCUUCUAUCGGUGAGGAGGUGUAGAUCUGGUGUGUGCUCUGUGUGGUGGGAGUUGUUAGGGGUGUUGCUGUGCUGGGUUGUCGCUUUUGGUCCUCUGCGUGAAGUUGUUUUGUGUUGGUUUUUGUGUGUCUCUAGGUUUUGUUCCUGGUUUGAGUGGAUGUAGGAGUUUGUUUAGUUUGUUGCUUUUUUCUAGCCUUUCCUUUGUAUCUUUUUCUCAGCAAACAUCUCUUAUGUUUGGUUGAGUUUAUCAAUAAAUUUUGGCUGUUAAAAAAAAUAUAUAAUGUUUGAGGCCUUGAGGACCUAAUUAUUUAUUUUAAAGGGUUGUUUUGAGAUA